Molecule: long non-coding RNA, 892 nt
Filed under: Nicotiana benthamiana
Lineage: Eukaryota; Viridiplantae; Streptophyta; Magnoliopsida; Solanales; Solanaceae
Description: long non-coding RNA (NBEN_LNC010292)
Source: RNAcentral
CAAAAGUUCAGCAACCCAACCCAAUACCCCAUCAAACCCAUCAGGUCUUCUUCUUCACCAGGACCCAAUGCUAGAAAGGGAACAAAAUUGAAAACCCCAGGAGAUCUUCUUUUUCAUACACACAAAACAAAAGAAAAAACCCUAGCAAGACAAAAAUGGAGACCAUGGUUGCUGCUUCUUCUUCUUCAAAGGAAAUAUGAAAAACCCUAGGCUACCCUUCUUCUUCAUCAGCUCACACAAGAACAUCCCUGAACCCUAGAAGACCAGCGUCGCCUCCCCACCUGGAUAACACCAAACUAGCCGGAAUCAACCAACCGUUCAUCGCUGUUGCACAUAGAGAUAGUCGUGACGACACCACCCAGUACCACCCUCGCCUCUGUUCCACUAUCCCAGCAACCCGACGCUGCUCGCCAGCCUCACUUUCUCACCACCAAAACCUACUGCCACAAAACACCCUCGACUGCAGAGAACAACUAGCUGUCAGUCUGCCCUCCUCGUCAUUAACUCGCCGGAAAACCCCUCCUCUCCAAUCCAGAACGAUCAGCCAAGAGAGGAAGGAUUUGGUUCAUUGUUCAGAUUAUACAAAAUAGCUCUUUGAUUUUGUUUACUAUUAAUCAUGUUUCAAUAUGAGAAAAUAAAAAAGCGGAUAGAAUUUGGGAAUGAAAAGUGAAAAUAGUUUGAACUUAAUUAUGGUUUUUCAAGUUUCUUUUGGGUUUAAAAUCAAGUUUAAUCAGAGGUCGGUUCGAGGCCGUCAUUGUCCGUCGAGGUUUCGAAUUACAGUUUGUAGUUUCAAAUCAAGUCUAUCUACCAUCUCCAGUUUGGUCAUAGCAGUUGGGUUCAUUUGCUCGUGUAACUGCUUAAAUUUCUAAUCGAUAUAAACUCCAAUUUGCAG